This 634-nucleotide ribosomal RNA is filed under the name uncultured picoeukaryote. RNAcentral describes it as "partial 16S ribosomal RNA". It matches the Rfam family "Bacterial small subunit ribosomal RNA", at positions 886 to 1482 of the family's 1533-position model. The record is from RNAcentral.
CCGCAAGGCUAAAACCCAAAGGAAUUGACGGGGGCUUACACAAGCGGUGGAGCAUGUGGUUUAAUUCGAAACAACGCGCAAAACCUUACCAAUCCUUGACAUAUGAAAAACCAGGGUGUUUACCCGCUCUGUCUCUUUUAUACAGGUGCUGCAUGGCUGUCGUCAGUUCGUGGUGUGAGCUGUUGGGUUAAGUCCCAGAACGAACGCAACCCUCCUUUGAAAUGAAGGUUUACCUUUUUCAAAGACUGCCAAGGAUAUCUUGGAGGAAGGUGAGGAUGACGUCAAGUCCGCAUGGCCCUUAUGGGUUGGGCUACACACGUGCUACAAUGGGAAUGACAAAAGGAGGCAACAUGGCAACAUUGAGCAAAUCCCAAAAAGUUUCCUUAGUUCGGAUUGUUCUCUGCAACUCGAGAACAUGAAGUUGGAAUCGCUAGUAAUCGUAGAUCAGCACGCUACGGUGAAUUUGUAUCUAAGCCUUGUACACACCGCCCGUCACACUCUGAAAAUUUUCAUGCCUUGAAGCAAAAGAAGUUCACCAAGAACACACAGCGCAAUUAAAAAAAAACAUCUUCCCUUUUUUUUUUUCUGUGUCUUUGUUGGAACCUUUUCUAGAGUUAGGGAGGUGAUUGGAGUG